CCUACGGGAGGCAGCAGUGAGGAAUAUUGGUCAAUGGGCGAGAGCCUGAACCAGCCAAGUCGCGUGAAGGAUGACGGCCCUACGGGUUGUAAACUUCUUUUGUCAGGGAGCAAUUGGGUCCACGCGUGGGCUUAGCGAGAGUACCUGAAGAAAAAGCAUCGGCUAACUCCGUGCCAGCAGCCGCGGUAAUACGGAGGAUGCGAGCGUUAUCCGGAUUUAUUGGGUUUAAAGGGUGCGUAGGCGGAAUAUCAAGUCAGCGGUAAAGAUUCGGGGCUCAACCCCGUCGUGCCGUUGAAACUGAUGUUCUUGAGUGGGCGAGAAGUAGGCGGAAUGCGUGGUGUAGCGGUGAAAUGCAUAGAUAUCACGCAGAACUCCGAUUGCGAAGGCAGCAUACCGGCGCCCAACUGACGCUGAAGCACGAAAGCGUGGGUAUCGAACAGGAUUAGAUACCCGGGUAGUC
RNAcentral lists this ribosomal RNA (460 nucleotides) under uncultured bacterium. RNAcentral's name for it is "partial 16S ribosomal RNA". It matches the Rfam family "Bacterial small subunit ribosomal RNA", at positions 338 to 795 of the family's 1533-position model. The record is from RNAcentral.